GAAAGCCGUGUGCGGGAAAACCGCACGCACGGUUUGAUGAGGGAGGGCUGGAGACGGAAACUAUGGCCCGGCUAUUUAGGCACCGGCAGACGAAAGGGCCGGAAACGGGUAAGCCGCGCCUGUGGUGAAAGGAACCAGCUCUCUACUCUAC
This 151-nucleotide non-coding RNA is filed under the name Geothermobacter ehrlichii. Lineage: Bacteria; Pseudomonadati; Thermodesulfobacteriota; Desulfuromonadia; Desulfuromonadales; Geothermobacteraceae. The record is from RNAcentral.